Molecule: ribosomal RNA, 922 nt
Filed under: uncultured Mycoplasma sp.
Lineage: Bacteria; Bacillati; Mycoplasmatota; Mollicutes; Mycoplasmatales; Mycoplasmataceae
Description: bacterial SSU rRNA
Rfam family: Bacterial small subunit ribosomal RNA
Source: RNAcentral
UCUUCCACAAUGGACGAAAGUCUGAUGGAGCAAUGCCAUGUGAACGAUGAAGGUCAUAAAGAUCGUAAAGUUCUUUUAGGGGGGAAAACUCUGAUGGUACCUCCUGAAUAAGUGACAGCAAACUAUGUGCCAGCAGCUGCGGUAAUACAUAGGUCGCGAGCGUUAUUCGGAUUUAUUGGGCGUAAAGCAAGCGCAGGCGGAUUGAUAAGUUCUGUAUUAAAAGCAGCUGCUCAACAGUUGUUUGUACCGAAUACUGUCAGUCUAGAAUUUGGUAGGAAGUUUUGGAAUUAAACAUGGAGCGGUGGAAUGUGUAGAUAUGUUUAAGAACACCAGAGGCGAAGGCGAAAACUUAGGCCAUAAUUGACGCUUAGGCUUGAAAGUGUGGGUAGCAAAUGGGAUUAGAUACCCCAGUAGUCCACACCGUAAACGAUGGGUAUUAGAUGUUGGGACUUGUGUCUCAGUGUCGUAGCUUACGUGUUAAAUACCCCGCCUGGGUAGUACAUAUGCAAAUAUGAAACUCAAAGGAAUUGACGGGGACCUGAACAAGUGGUGGAACAUGUUGCUUAAUUCGAUAAUACACGAAAAACCUUACCAAGGUUUGACAUCCCCAGCGAAGGUAUAGAAAUAUAUUGGAGGUUAUCUGGGUGACAGGUGGUGCAUGGUUGUCGUCAGCUCGUGUCAUGAGAUGUUUGGUUAAGUCCCGCAACGAGCGCAACCCUACUUCUUAGUUGUUUGUCUAAGUUGACUGAAUCGUAAGAUAUAGGAAGGUUGGGAUCACGUCAAAUCAUCAUGCCCCUUAUGCCUUGGGCUGCAAACGUGUUACAAUGGUGAGUACAAUGUGCAGCAAACUAGCGAUAGCGAGCAAAUCACUAAAACUCAUCUCAGUCCGGAUAAAAGGCUGCAAUUCGCCUUUUUGAAUUGG